This 513-nucleotide ribosomal RNA is filed under the name uncultured bacterium. RNAcentral describes it as "partial 16S ribosomal RNA". It matches the Rfam family "Bacterial small subunit ribosomal RNA", at positions 28 to 523 of the family's 1533-position model. The record is from RNAcentral.
GACGAACGCUGGCGGCGUGCCUAAUACAUGCAAGUUGAGCGCUGAAGGUUGGUACUUGUACCGACUGGAUGAGCAGCGAACGGGUGAGUAACGCGUGGGGAAUCUGCCUUUGAGCGGGGGACAACAUUUGGAAACGAAUGCUAAUACCGCAUAAAAACUUUAAACACAAGUUUUAAGUUUGAAAGAUGCAAUUGCAUCACUCAAAGAUGAUCCCGCGUUGUAUUAGCUAGUUGGUGAGGUAAAGGCUCACCAAGGCGAUGAUACAUAGCCGACCUGAGAGGGUGAUCGGCCACAUUGGGACUAGGACACGGCCCAAACUCCUACGGGAGGCAGCAGUAGGGAAUCUUCGGCAAUGGACGAAAGUCUGACCGAGCAACGCCGCGUGAGUGAAGAAGGUUUUCGGAUCGUAAAACUCUGUUGGUAGAGAAGAACGUUGGUGAGAGUGGAAAGCUCAUCAAGUGACGGUAACUACCCAGAAAGGGACGGCUAACUACGUGCCAGCCGCCACCGUAA